CGGUCUCUUUCCUGUCCUGCCAUGGUAAAGAAGUGCUUAUUUCCCCUUCGCUUUCCACCACGAAUAUUUUUCCUGAGGCCUCCCAGUCAUGCUUCCUGUUUUGCCUGCAGAACUUUCUAGAAGACAGAAGUCUGAAAUCAAAAUGUUGGCAGGAUCAUCCUCUCUCUGAAGGCUGGAGGCAUUUAUGAAGUAGGGACCUGGAAUUGAAGAGACUCCUAAAGGAGAGACAGAAGUUUGAAAGAGCAAGAAGAGUGGAUGUGGAUCCAGACAGAAAAAGAGAACAGCAAAUAUUUGAAAGAGCUUAAGACGUACUCCUCAAGGUACCACAGAUAGAAGCCUUGAGAAGCUUACUUUGGUCAGAAAUUUUGCCUUUGUCUGCAGGCUUCUACCAGUUCGAUUCCAUCUGUGGGUCUUAGGUUUCAGUUACCUGAAGUCAAAUGUGGUCCAAUACACAGACUGGAAUAAGAGACAUUGGAGACUCCAAAAGGCGCUGACAGAGAAAGCAAGACUUCUGGGGCAGAGGCAAAAGAAGUUAUUACUCAUGGCACAACGGACAAUAUGACCUUCAUGUUGGUUCCAGUUUCAAUUGCCUUUUAAGUCAUACAGAGUGACACAGAAUGACUUUGGAGGAUGCUGUGCACACAAAUAUUUUCUGGUAGACUGAUAUAUUUCUCCUAAAAAAUUUGGAAAAAUUUUGUGAUGAAGAAGCUACCUGGGCCUGAAGAUAUCUUUUCUGGACAAAGUAAAUGAAUGAUUGAAGACCUGCAAACUGUGUUUGUAACGACUUUCUAAGAUUGAUAGCCUCCGUGUUUCAAUGCUCAUGGAGCAGAUGGAUAUGACUGACACUGCCCUUAAUACUACAGCAUGAUCCAAAGCAUCACCAAAGUCUUCAAAGAGAAAGUAAAAAAAAAAAAA
Long non-coding RNA from Homo sapiens (human), 915 nucleotides. Ensembl annotates it as DISC1 fusion partner 1. Its record names the gene DISC1FP1. NCBI's taxonomy places the organism in Eukaryota, Metazoa, Chordata, Mammalia, Primates, Hominidae. The record is from Ensembl.